Podarcis lilfordi (Lilford's wall lizard) is the source of this 73-nucleotide non-coding RNA. Lineage: Eukaryota; Metazoa; Chordata; Lepidosauria; Squamata; Lacertidae. The record is from the annotation of a GenBank genome assembly.
AGAAAAAUGUAGCUCAGUGGUAGAGCAUCUGCCUUGCAUGCAGAAGGUCCAGACUCAAUCCCCAGCAUCUCCA